Molecule: ribosomal RNA, 468 nt
Filed under: uncultured bacterium
Lineage: Bacteria
Description: partial 16S ribosomal RNA
Rfam family: Bacterial small subunit ribosomal RNA
Source: RNAcentral
GACGAACGCUGGCGGCGUGCUUAACACAUGCAAGUCGAACGGAAAGGCCCUGCUUUUGUGGGGUGCUCGAGUGGCGAACGGGUGAGUAACACGUGAGUAACCUGCCCUUGACUUUGGGAUAACUUCAGGAAACUGGGGCUAAUACCGGAUAGGAGCUCCUGCUGCAUGGUGGGGGUUGGAAAGUGUCGGCGGUUGUGGAUGGACUCGCGGCUUAUCAGCUUGUUGGUGGGGUAGUGGCUUACCAAGGCUUUGACGGGUAGCCGGCCUGAGAGGGUGAACGGCCACAAUGGGACUAAGAGACGGCGCAGGAUGCUACGGGAGGCAGCAGGGGGGAAUAUUGCACAAUGGGCGGGAGCCUGAGGCAGAAACGCCGCGUGCGGGAUGACGGCCUACGGGUGGUAAACCGCUUUCGCAUGUGACGAAGCGUGAGUGACGGUAAUGGGUAAAGAAGCACCGGCUAACUACGUG